GGACCUCAAAAAAAGAUUAUUGAUCAUAAUUAGAAAACUCAUUUCACCGAAUUUGACAGAAAAAUGCUUCAGCAGAAUCAACAACGGUUCAUUAAGAUUCAUACACUUUCAUCACAUAUUGGCAGCAUGGCUCAACAGAUAAUCUAUUACUGAUUAAACUUAAUCCAAUAACACAAACCCAUCAAAGUAAACCAAUCAAACUUAAAAUUUGACACGGUAAAGAAGGAAAAUAACCACUCAAAAUAAAAUGUGAAGCAGAAAAAAUCGUAAAACUACAUUCUAGUUUUGGUAAUUAAAACAUCUAGGUUAUCAACAAGUGCACAACCAUGUCAUUUACUUCCUUUGCAUGUGGCAGCAUCUGUUUAAGUUCCUCCACCUUGACGAGAAUAUCCAUG
RNAcentral lists this long non-coding RNA (395 nucleotides) under Gossypium barbadense (sea-island cotton). Its description in RNAcentral is "long non-coding RNA (GBAR_LNC022739)". Lineage: Eukaryota; Viridiplantae; Streptophyta; Magnoliopsida; Malvales; Malvaceae. The record is from RNAcentral.